This 1463-nucleotide long non-coding RNA is filed under the name Zonotrichia albicollis (white-throated sparrow). RNAcentral describes it as "lncRNA (ENSZALG00000007736.1)". Lineage: Eukaryota; Metazoa; Chordata; Aves; Passeriformes; Passerellidae. The record is from RNAcentral.
GGGGCAGGCACUGUAGUGCCCGGUGGGCACGGAGAACAGUCGGGAACGGGGAGCGGCCCCCUGGGAUGCGCUUGGAUGCCGACAGUGCGUUCUGCGGGGCGGCAAACCUCGGCUGUCCCGGUCCCCGCUGCCCCUGCUGCAGUCUGAGGCGUGCAAGUGCCUCUGUGUGUGCAAGUAACAUCUCACGGGUUCUCUAAAACAUUAAAGCAACCUCCUCCCCAGCCUUUCCUUCAACUCCGUCCCUAGCCCUUCCCUCUCUCCUGCACCAGAAAAAGUACAUUGCUUCACUCUUUCCCAAAAGGGCAUGUAGCCCAAACCCCAAAUAUCUGUAUUCGUGUUGUCCCCAAAGUGAAGGCUGUUGAGCAGAGCUGACUGCAGGUCUGCACCGUCUACAGCUGUGGCCUGCCAAGGCAGGUGGCCAGACCACCUCAGCAUCGAGCUCCUCCAUUCCUUCAUUACUUUAUUGUGAUCAACUCAACCGUGCUAUAAGCAUGCUUGUCCUGUGAUGAUAAUUUCAUCAAGGGCUUAUGUAAGGGUUGGAUAACAGAUAUAUACAAACAGAGGAACAUAUGGUUGUCGCAAGAUAGCAGCACGUGCUUUCUUCAUAAAGCAUUACAAUGGCUUGUAUGGCAUUCCAGUUAUAGCUGGUGGAUGAUUCACAAGCCAUCCCAAACUGUCACAAAAUAUUGUGAUGUCUCCUACAAUUUUAUCAAAACCUUGCUAAUUUGAUGAUUGAAAAAAAAAGAUUGAUCAGAAAGGAUAACCCGAUCCCAUUGUUAGAGGAAGAUUUGGACUCAGGUAUGUGUUUCUCUCAAAAGUGAUAUUUUGAACAGUCAAAGAUCUUAGAAUCACACUCUGACUUGGAUUUACUUCUAAACCUUUGGCCUUUACUAACACUGAGUACCAUAACCCCCAAAUUUAGGCACCAAGUCUCUGGGGUGUGAUACUUUUUUGGUAAGGGACACUGCAUGGGCAGCAUCCUGAGCAGGAGCAAUGAGAAUGAGAAAUGGAAGGGAAAUGAUGGAAGAAAGAGAUGUUUUCCACAUCACACCUUCUUAGAGAGAGGGUACUUCUGUGCCUGUCCCUGUGGCUGGUCAAGGAAGGAUCAUUUGGAUGGAAAGUGGGUAGGCCAGAGUGCUAAACUCUCCUCCCCAGAGAAAAGCCUAACUGACAUGUCUCAUCUAUUGGAAGGAUGCUCUGUACCCCUGUGGUUGCAAAGUGGUUCCUUCAAACUUCUGUUUUGGAGAGCUGCAUGAAGAAGAAAGCACAGCCACUGGAUGCAGGACAUGGCAACACUUUGUCCUGACCUGGAGCACGGGAGCUUCAUCAGGAGCGACUGCCAGAGGAACAUAAACCUUGCCCUCUCAUUCUUCCUGACCAGCGCCAAUGGAGCUGUUUUUCCAGUGAAUUUUCAGCUAGGAUAUUAAAAUAAACUUCUCCCCAAAAGCUUCUGCCUUGAAGCA